Molecule: transfer RNA, 77 nt
Filed under: Oceanithermus sp.
Lineage: Bacteria; Thermotogati; Deinococcota; Deinococci; Thermales; Thermaceae
Description: tRNA-Arg
Rfam family: tRNA
About the family: Transfer RNA (tRNA) molecules are approximately 80 nucleotides in length. Their secondary structure includes four short double-helical elements and three loops (D, anti-codon, and T loops).
Source: RNAcentral
GCGCCCGUAGCUCAGUCGGAUAGAGCGGGUGCCUCCUAAGCACCAGGUCGGAGGUUCGAAUCCUCCCGGGCGCACCA